GGAGGAAUGGCUGAGCGGCUGAAGGCACCGGUUUGCUAAAUCGGCAUACCUGUAAAGGUAUCAUGGGUUCAAAUCCCUUUUCUUCCG
Molecule: transfer RNA, 87 nt
Filed under: Chaetosphaeridium globosum
Lineage: Eukaryota; Viridiplantae; Streptophyta; Coleochaetophyceae; Coleochaetales; Chaetosphaeridiaceae
Description: tRNA-Ser
Rfam family: tRNA
About the family: Transfer RNA (tRNA) molecules are approximately 80 nucleotides in length. Their secondary structure includes four short double-helical elements and three loops (D, anti-codon, and T loops).
Source: RNAcentral